RNAcentral lists this transfer RNA (71 nucleotides) under Marmota monax (woodchuck). RNAcentral's name for it is "tRNA.Ala". The record is from RNAcentral. Lineage: Eukaryota; Metazoa; Chordata; Mammalia; Rodentia; Sciuridae.
GGGGUUGUGGCUCAGUGGUAAAUCGCUUGCCUAGCAUGUAUGAGGCAUUGGGUUCGAUUCUCAGCACCACA